GCCUUCGUGGUGAAGUGGUUAGAACACUCGGUGCGUUUUCUUUCGAGAGGUCCGUGGUUCGAGUCCCGGCAAGGGUA
RNAcentral lists this transfer RNA (77 nucleotides) under Stegodyphus mimosarum. It matches the Rfam family "tRNA". Rfam says of the family: Transfer RNA (tRNA) molecules are approximately 80 nucleotides in length. Their secondary structure includes four short double-helical elements and three loops (D, anti-codon, and T loops). The record is from Rfam by way of RNAcentral. Lineage: Eukaryota; Metazoa; Arthropoda; Arachnida; Araneae; Eresidae.